This is a long non-coding RNA of Thalassophryne amazonica, 7103 nucleotides long. RefSeq lists it as uncharacterized. The transcript has 2 exons. The record is from RefSeq and is a predicted model, not a curated record. Lineage: Eukaryota; Metazoa; Chordata; Actinopteri; Batrachoidiformes; Batrachoididae.
AUCUCAUUCCCUCCCAAUACCCAAGUCACAACACAUCCCUCAGCAAUUAUUGCCUCAAAUGAACAUUCUGAUUACGGCCAUCCAAAGUUCCAACUGGUUGCUGUACUUGUGCAGAUAAUUAGAAGAUGGACUUAUGUGUUGUAUUUUGAUUGUCCCUGUCUUCUACGUCCAGCACUGUCCGAUUGUUUGGGUUGUCACAUUCAGUUCCACAAGUGGAGAUCUGAAUGCUUGGUAGACCUGCAGUUGUACACCGACAUUUCUGUGCAGUUGCUGUGUGAACAAUACAAAUGUGUGAUGUCACGCACUACUUCUGGGGUGGAUUCUUUAAUGUAAUAUACUGGUAGCAUCGAUUUUGAUUCAGAUAUAGAUCUAUAUCAUCCAGUGACUCAACAUCUCUUCCUUUUUUGCCAUACAAGAGUAAAGCAAAUUUCCUCGUUGAUUUUAAUUAAUUUAUCCUUAUUCGUGUUGUCACCGAGGCCUUGCAAGGGUUUUGCAUUUUUCGUUGCAACAUUGUAUGCAGUGCGCUUUCCCAUCCUGUUCAAGGAGCUGGUGGUAUCACAUCCUGAGAGGGCAUGGAUGGCUGGAAGUAUGUUGCAAACAGUCUUGUUUAACUGUUGUGCUAUGAUUUGUAUUGGCACUUAUCGUUCAUGACUGACUAUCUUCCCCGAAUGCCAGGAAUGCAUGAAUACCUCUCCUGGUAAAUACCCUCUGCUGUAAUAGUAGACAAGUAGCACCAUGACAUCGGUGUCGUCACAUUGUAUUAUGACUCGUGAAAUUCCAAAUGAACCUCAUUAUAACAUGUUUUUGGUAUGUCACAAACAAGGGGUUAAAAUGACUUGUUAGUUAAAAUCCAUUUUGAUAAAGUUGAUAUCCAAAUGAACAAUUUGAUACUUAAUUUGUCUUUUUGGAGGUCAGUCUGCUCACCUAUGACAUUAGUACUGGAUGGAAAGAACACUUUGAAGACCUCCUGAACACCAAACCAGUCAUUGAGGAGGAGGAAGUGCUCAGCCAUUUACCAAGACAAGACAUUGUUUAAGAACUCAGCUGAACCCCAACACUUGCAGAAACUCUUGUUGCCCUUUAAAGGUAAGAAAAAUAAGAGAGCACCUGGGGAAGACAACAGGUCUUUAAAUGAGGUCUUUAAUAAAGGAGGUCCCUCACCAGCUGCAUCAACUCAUCAUCAAAAUCUGGAGUCAAGAAGAAAUACUACCGGAUCUGAAAGACUCAAUGAUUGUCACCAUCUAUAAGUGGAAAGGAGACAACUUUGACUAUGGAAACCAUAGCAGAAUCUCCUUAUUGUCUACCACAGGAAAGGUGCUUGCAGGCAUUGGUGACAAUCGUCUGAAACUACUAGCAAAAAAACAUCCUUCUGACCAUCAAGAGGGACAACAGACACAAUCUUCACUGUCCAUCAACUGCAAAAAAAUAUGUUGAGAGUAACACCAACCAUUGUUUUUUGCCUUCAGCGACUUGACAAAGGCGUUCGACAGCGUGCCACACCCACUUCUGUGAGUCAUCUCAGUAUUUAGGGUGUAACAUAAAAUAAAAGAAACAGAGUGUCACUUGUAAGUGCCUUCAAGAGACAGGUGCACCAACAACCAGCACAUUGCGUUUUAGAUAGUGAACAAAGAGGAGAUAAUGAGAGGUUUUCUGGCACCAAGUGUUGAAGUGCACAUGUAGGAGCAUCAGUCAUUCAUAGAUCCCCGAGGUAAAGCCUUAGAGUGCCUCCUGCAACACCUUCUCCUCAUUAUUCUCUGAUUGCCUGAUCUCCCAGCAGGCACAAACAUCCCCCACAACACACACACACAUAUCGCACCUGUGCUAAAGAUAUAGUAUAACUCAGAGUUAUUAAUGGUUAUGCCAUUAAUGCCAUUUGUGUUGACAUGUAUUUUGUUUUUAAAUUUUGUUAUGAUUGGUUGCUGUUAAAUACACCAUUAUUCAUCCCUUUGUGUAUAAGCAGCGUGUGCGUGUUGUGAACCUGCCUGUGUACAGCAUAUUUUGACUAUUUCGCUGUAUGAAUAAUAGACAAACUGUGAUUUAAUUUAGACCACAUUUUGGUUGUGGAGAGCCACGAUGCAAAUGCACAGACACUGCACAUGACAACACCUUAUUUAAGACCAGCGCACUGCUGGGUGCACAAAUGAGUGAAAGUAGAUUUGCUCUUGAAGAGAAUGUGGGUGUCGGCUGUGAAAAUGACACUUGCAUCAAUUGCACACUUGCAAUGGCAGUUGCGAUGCGCCAUGUGCUACUUUGUGCUGCUUUGUGCAUUGGAGCUCAGUAAGUGGAUGCAUGAGUCUGACAUUUCAUAGAAUAGAGGGAAGUUAUUCAGACUCAUUUGUAAGACAAUAAUAUUUCUGCUUGGAGAACACCAAUGGUUCUGCUGCAUGUGCUCACAUGUGCUGUCAGGGGGGAAGUUACUCAAGAAUAUGACCUAAAUAUUUCCAUUUAGUCUCUUAGCUCUUUCAAAGGUGAAUGCACUUUUUGCAAUUACCAGUUCACUCUCACAUUAGUUUAUUUGAAACAUAUAAUAACCUACGUUUUGUUGUGUUGUGUUUUAAUUUCGGAAUUUUUGCCUGCAGCAUUUAUUAUCUAAAAAUAACCUUUAUAAUAUUAACUGUUCAUUCACUACAGAGAAGAAAAACCACCUUCUCAUUUCAUGUUAGACGUUUGGGGUUUAGACCUUUAUUUUUCUUGCCUACAGACUAAAAUUGGAUAAUUGGGUGAAUAUGAAAAGAUGUCAAACAGAUUUUGCUACUUGGUUCCAGUGACUGUUUCUGGCAUGACGUAUGUACAGCCACUAAAAAAAAAAAAAGUUUUGCAUUUCUACAAGGGAUUACCAGAUUCAGCACAUUUUUGUUUCAAAUUUGUGAUGUGGGAUUUCAUUUCCUGCAUCAGCCAAAAAAUAAAAAUAAAAAAUCUAACAUUUGUACUCAGAUAUUUCAUUUACAAAGAGUUUCUUAACUCCACUGAUGUUAAAACUUUCACAUCCUGUGUUCAAAUAUUUUAUUCAUGUUUCCCUUCCUUUCUAAAAAAACAAAACAAAACAAAAAACUGCAAUUUGGUGGAUUUUCUUUCACAAUUUCACAGAGGAACUGUGAAUAUCAUUCAGAGUUGAACGCAUUAGUCAAGUGCAUUUUACCGAUGCUUUAUUCUUUAUUUCUAAUUUUAUUGUAAUUUUUAAAUUAUACAAAAAUUUAACGUGGAGUGAAACAGUUUGCCAUUUCCUUUGUGCUGUUGCUAGUUACACUUUGCCGUUGGGCAUUUUGUUCCCAAUUGCACUGUUGUCUAAUAUCCUCAUGUGUCACCGUCUAUAAUCAUCUUCCUCUCCCAGUUGCUCUUGUUGGGAGUCACCACAGCAGAUCAUUCAGAUCCAUUUCACCCUGUCCUCUGUAACUUCCUCUGUCACACCAACCACCUGCAUGUCCUCCCUCACCACAUCCAUAAUCCUCUUCUUUACCCUCCCUCUUCUCCUCCUGCCUGGUGGCUCCAUCAUCAGCAUCCUUCUCCCUAUAUACCCUAAGUCCCUCCUUUGUACAUGUCCAAACGUCUCAAUUUUGCCUUUCUGACUUUGUCUCCCAACUGUCCCACCUCUGCUGUCCCUCUAAAUAUUAAUUCCUAAUCCUGUACAUCGUCAUCACUUCCAAAGAAAAUAGCAGGAUCUUUGAACUUGUACACCCUCAAGUUGUCCAUCACACCUGGUCUCACUCUUGCCUUGUAAACUUUGUCCUUCACUCUUGCAGAUAUCCUUCUAUCACAAUUCACUCCUGCCACAUUUGUCCAUCCACUUCGCCCUUCCUGCACUCAGUAGCUGAUAUAACUACAUGUUCAAGCAAUUACCUUGGGAAACAUUUAUCAAGCAUUACAUGACAGAGUUACAUUUACCAAUGGCCCUUAUAAAUUUUACUGUGCAAUAAAGCCUUAUAUUAACCUUGUUCAGAAGCAGCGUCAACAUCUCUGGGUUCGGCAUCUCCUGGGUUGGACCAUCACGCAACAGAAAUGUGCAUUGUGGUCAGACAAAUUAGUAUUCCAGAUCUUUUUUGGAAGAAACGGACCACAUGUGCCGUGUACCAAAAACAGAAGGGACGAUCCAGUCUGGUAUCAGCAACAAGUCUAAAAGCCAGAGUCUGUCAUGGUAUGGGGUUGUCUUAGUGAUCCUGGAAAAGGUAAUUUACAGUUCUAUGAUGGCAGCAUUAAUGCAGAAAAAUACAUAGAGAUUUUACAGCAACAUAUGCUGCCUUUAAGACUUCAUCUUUUCCAGGGACGUUCAUGCAUUUUUCAACAAUACAAUGCAAAACCGCAUUAUACACACUUUACAAAGGCAUGGCUGUGGAAUAGGAGGGUACUGAUACUGUGCUACUUGCAGCCCUGACCUGCCCUCAGCAGAGAAUUUGUGGAGAAUUUUGAAAAGAAAAUGCAACAAUGAUGACCCUGUACUGUUGCACACCUUAAGAUGUGUUUUCAGGAGGAAUGGGACAUUACACCUAAAACUCUUCAUCACUUGGUAUCCUCUAUGCCAAUGUAUCUUUGAAGUGUUAUGAGAAGGUAUGGCAAAAAAAACAAACAAAAAAAACCUUUAGAGUUCCAAAAUUUUUGGAAUGUGUUGCAGGCCUUAAAUGCAGGAAUGGAUGUUUUUUUAAGAAAUGAAAUGAAGUUGACCACAUAAAACAUAACCUAUCUUGGGUUCCUACCAUCUGCAAUGAAAUAGAAGCCAACGUAAAUGCAAGAAUCACUGCUUCCCCCCAUCCUCCAUACCAUCCCAAACUUUUCUGGUUUAGCCUUAUGAUAAACAACACAAAUUCCAAAAUGGUACUAUAAUAUUUUUACAAACACAUGUUUAAACAUUUAAUAUUACUUGAAAUACUUAUAGGAGAGAACCUCCAGCAGACCAGACUCAGUGGGUUGACCAUCUGCUUUGGCCAAACUAAUAAAUAAAACAAAAGAAAAACACAGGUAUUUGUAAAACAUGCCAUAGCAGAAAUGUUGGAGCUGAGGCACCAUACAUGUAGUGUUUAAAAUGAAUGACAAAGCCUUUACUGUUGCACAGUUUUUUUUUCUUGAUCUCAAACUUAGUGUCAUUCUGGAUCAACAAAAUCAGUCAGUUCCACAUAUCAGCUUUCUGAUGACUAAUUUCACCGCUGUGCCUCAGUGACAGUCGCACUACAGAAAUUAUGUUGUAGAUGUAGAAGGUGAACAUGGCGUGUUGGUCAGGUGUACUAAUACGUGAUCUGAUGGUGGGAACACAGUCGGCCAUUUGUUCAGCCUGUGUCCUUGACUUCAUAGCCUUGAUAUGGAAGAAAAUUCCCCUAAGCAGCAUGGUGUUUUGUCUUUUAUUUGGAUAAAACUGUGGUAGAAUUCACAUCAGUUUGAUGCAAACCGUAUUUAAUGCAUAGUCAAGUCACGUCUGGGAGCAUGUGCUGGUGCUGCGCUUCACCACAUCCACGACACCACAGAGCCGCUUUGGGUUAACAAACUGCAAAACAAUAACCACCCAGACAAACAAAUGGUCCAUCCCCACAUCUCUAAAAUAACUAUCUAUCUGCCACAGCCAAAUGAAACUUUGGUAUCCCCUUCACCGUCUCCAGUCCCUGGAAUCCUCAACACUUGGGCACCUGCGUGCUGGUUCAUGCACAGAGAAACGCUCCACAUGGCCAGAAUAUCAAAGCUGAUGCUUCCUCACAAUACAAGUGAGACUCCUCAUUUUAGUCUUCCGAAGAAACCACACAAUUGGCAUAACGUCAUUCCAGCGUUACUCAAGGAUCCUCUGAAGAGAUCUAGUUCCAAAGACAUUCAGUCUUUGCCUUAUUGACUAACAAGCAACACACAAACAUCAGUGAGACAGUAAAAUACGUGCUGUGAAAUCUACCAGAAGAUGUACUUUCAUGGCAUAAAAUAAAAGCGUGCAGUUCUUAAUACAUAGAGACAGGAUUAUUCUACAAAAUCAAGACAUUGCAUUGUAUAUUGACAUAUUUUUGUGUUUGACAUUUUGGAUAAAAUUAAUAAUCAUAACGAUAAUGAACAACUGGGAAUGACAUGUAUGCAAUUUGUCCUGCGUGGCAGCGUUGGAAUGGAAAACAUUACGUGACAGUAGAUUGCUUAAAGUAGGUUAACGUCCAACUAGCUACAAUAAUGAUAAACAUAUAUAAGCAUUGAAGCAUUCUGCUCCAUUUCUGAAUCAGAUGUUGGUACUCUACUUUCUGUCAAAUGUGUAACUGACCUUUAACCAAGCUCGGAGCUCUACCCCCCUCCCUUCCGUGUCAGUUGUCUACUUCCCUUUCUUACAGUGGUUGGAAACUUUAAGUUUUGACACUUUUGAAAGCAAUGGCCAGAUCUUAUUUGGCUUCCUCUAUUGCACUCUCCAUCAUGUUCUUGCGCACUUACCAUCUUCCUCACCCAGUCGCUCUCAUCUCGUUUGUCACACGAUUACACACAUCAGCAGGUCCCGGUGUGGUUCAUUUUUCUUUUUCAUUUUUCUCAUGUAGCUUUUGUCUUACUGAGUCUCUAAAAACAGAAAAAAAAACAGUCAUGUCAAAAACAUGCUCAUAUAGUUUACAGUUGACACUGUUGGUUAUUUUUCUGCAAAGGUUCUCUGCACAAUUGCAAAGACAACUUCUACUUUGAAGUCUUAUUUAAUUUUCUGUAAAGUCAAGUUAUUUUGACAAGUAAAUCAAGGAACUGAGUCUUCUGAAAAUGUUUGGUGGGGGGGCUGUUAUCUGUGGCUCAGUGUGUGUGAGGUGCUAUAAAUACGUUGUCCUCUUCAGCCAUGAAAUCUGUCAUCAGAAAUUUUCCGACCACAAAACAGGAAGUUUAGAAGAACAAAUCGAGAACUGUGCCUAAAAUUAAGUCAAAGCUCAACACAACGGAGUGUGCAUUCACUUCUUCACAUACCCACAGUGUAAUGGACAAAAAUACCACUGACCAAACAGAAACAUCUGUACUGGACAUUUUUAAUUUACAUUGUGCAUCUGAAUUUGUUCUGCCUUUUUGUUGCCACAUGCUGUGCACAUCAGUCUGCCUGAUAACCACUAAUGCGAUCAUAUAUGUACUGUAUGGCCUAUGUUCAGACCUGAUUAACUGCAGGACAAACUCACAAAUCAGUAAAAAAA